CCUACGGGCGGCUGCAGUCGAGAAUCUUCGGCAAUGGACGAAAGUGUGACCGAGCGAUACUGCGUGCAGGAAGAAGGCCUUCGGGUUGUAAACUGCUGUCGUAUGGGAAGAACUUUGACGGUACCAUACAAGAAAGGGGCGCCUAACUCUGUGCCAGCAGGCGCGGUAAUACAGAGGCCCCAAGCGUUAGCCGGAUUUAUUGGGCGUAAAGGGUCCGCAGGCGGAAUAGUGCGUCUUCUGUGAAAUCCUAUCGGCUCAACCGAGAGGCUGCAGUGGAUACGACUAUUCUUGAAGCAAGGAGAGGUAAGCGGAAUUCCUAGUGGAGCGGUGAAAUGCGUUGAUAUUAGGGAGAACACCAAUUGCGAAGGCAGCUUACUGGCCUUGUCUUGACGCUCAGGGACGACAGCGUGGGGAGCGAACGGGCUUAGAUACCCCAGUAGUC
This 442-nucleotide ribosomal RNA is filed under the name uncultured bacterium. RNAcentral's name for it is "bacterial SSU rRNA". It matches the Rfam family "Bacterial small subunit ribosomal RNA", at positions 338 to 795 of the family's 1533-position model. The record is from RNAcentral.